ACGAUCGCCAUCUACCAGCGUUUUACCUGGCACUGGCAGCGUUUUCCGAGUCAGAGUUUCCCUCACAAGUCGAAUCGAGUGUUUCUCACGUCAAGCGAUCUCGGUUAGUAUUUUUGUUCAUUUUUAUCAUCGAUUCAUUUUCUUUACCUGCAUAAACAUUGAUUUGAAAUUUCUUCCUCGAAUAUAUCUGUAUAUAAUCUGUUCUAGUUUCGUUUUUUCCCCAGUUUUGCUUAUGCUGAAAAUUAAACAUGAUUGUUGAGUUGUCUUGUAAUAUUGGGUUGUUUGUUUCACAUUAAAAAAUUAUCAAUUGAUGAAGGUGGUGCACUCACCAUUAAUUUGCGCAGGUAUUGAACGAUUUUAUUGCAUUGCGUUGCAUUUUACAUCCGUUCCAAUCUACUGUUAGAUAUUUAUGUUCUUUGAAGCCAUUAAUUUGGUCUGAUGAAUUGAAUUCCACUUAAUUCAAUAGAUCCAUGACCCUUUCGAAUCUUGCAGGACAACAUCUGAAAUUGAUGUUACGUCCUGCUCUUGGGAGAUGGUGGGGGAUAAAGAAAUUUCCCUGAGGAUGCUGAUUGUGAAAGUUAGAUACUAGAUAGUUUAAUCAAAGGAGGAGGGAGAAGCAUUAGUAUUUUUGUGAAUAAAUAUGUGCUAUUUGUGUUAACAUAUAUAUAUGUAUAGUAAGAAUUCAGUGGUUACUAAUGACCACAUCUCCUCUGGUUUGAUAAUUUGUUUGGUUUUUAAAAUAUUUGAGAAUAGCUUAAUGAUCUUAUAAAUUAAAGACACUAAAUUAUAGUGAAAGUAAUGUCGAUACAGUGAAAGUAGUGUCAAUUAUGUGAAGAUGACCUCUGAUGUUGAUUUUUGGUAUGAUGUUUUAAACAAAAAUGAGUGAUCAGAUGUAUGAAUUAAUAAUGUGUACUAAGACACUACAUUAAUGAAGGGAAUAUAUUUUACCAGAGGUGAUGUGUUAAAAUGGCAUCAAAUUUUCAACUUUGUUCAUCUCUCUUUGUUUUUUGCUUCAAUCAAACUGAAUAUUUUCGCAGGUGGCAAUGUAAGUUUUCCUUUUUGCUGCUUCAAUUACUGAAUAAUGUAAUUAAAUUGUUGUGAUUUAUAUAAUAUUAGCUUUUCCUUUUGCUGGCUUGGUUAAUAGCUGUUAGGUAGUUCUUUUUUUUCGGAAUUUUCUUGUUUGCUUAAAUUGUUUAUAUUUCUGACUGGUUUAUGAAUUGCAUUAGUUGUUUUUCUUUUUCUUUUUCUU
RNAcentral lists this unclassified non-coding RNA (1249 nucleotides) under Hevea brasiliensis (rubber tree). The record is from RNAcentral. Lineage: Eukaryota; Viridiplantae; Streptophyta; Magnoliopsida; Malpighiales; Euphorbiaceae.